GAGGUGGCAAGCGUUGUCCGGAAUUAUUGGGCGUAAAGCGCGCGCAGGCGGUUCUUUAAGUCUGAUGUGAAAGCCCACGGGCUCAACCGUGGAGGGUCAUUGGAAACUGGAGAACUUGAGUACAGAAGAGGAAAGCGGAAUUCCACGUGUAGCGGUGAAAUGCGUAGAGAUGUGGAGGAACACCAGUGGCGAAGGCGGCUUUCUGGUCUGUAACUGACGCUGAGGCGCGAAAGCGUGGGGAGCAAACAGGAUUAGAUACCCUGGUAGUCCACGCCGUAAACGAUGAGUGCUAAGUGUUAGGGGGUUUCCGCCCCUUAGUGCUGCAGCUAACGCAUUAAGCACUCCGCCUGGGGAGUACGGCCGCAAAGGCUGA
This 373-nucleotide ribosomal RNA is filed under the name uncultured organism. RNAcentral's name for it is "partial 16S ribosomal RNA". It matches the Rfam family "Bacterial small subunit ribosomal RNA", at positions 528 to 897 of the family's 1533-position model. The record is from RNAcentral.